Small nuclear RNA from Chiloscyllium plagiosum (whitespotted bambooshark), 107 nucleotides. The record is from RefSeq and is a predicted model, not a curated record. NCBI's taxonomy places the organism in Eukaryota, Metazoa, Chordata, Chondrichthyes, Orectolobiformes, Hemiscylliidae.
UUGAAAUCCUAAAUUGGUUUUAAUUGGAGCAAUACAGAAAAGAUUAGCACGGACCCUGCGCAAGGAUGACACGCAAAUUCAUGUUAAAGCUUAGGUAGAUAAUUUUU